This is a long non-coding RNA of Papaver somniferum (opium poppy), 604 nucleotides long. RefSeq lists it as uncharacterized. Lineage: Eukaryota; Viridiplantae; Streptophyta; Magnoliopsida; Ranunculales; Papaveraceae. The record is from RefSeq and is a predicted model, not a curated record. The transcript has 3 exons.
GCCUCCGCUGAAGGUCAAUCACUUGCUGACGAGUAUUCCAGAAGUGCUCAAUACCUUGCGUAUUUUGGUGGAAAUGUUGGGUUACGGUAUGCUGAGAGUUGUCCUCGUGGUGGGAUCUGCUACUUAAACAGCAGCAUGGUAAGUUGGUUGACAAAGAAAAUCGGCCAAAGGAGGGUCUUGUCACUAUAGGUGUAACUUCAGGUGCUUCUACCCAAGAUAAGAAAAGAUGCUAUGAGGCUGGUAAUUUAUGGAUGGAUUGGUCGAUUACAUCAUGUCAUGGUGCCUAGCUGCAGCAAAAGAAUCGAGGUACCUCUUAGAGGCUAGUCGAAACUUGGAAAAGUCCUGAAGUGUGCCAACAUACACAGUCCCACUAUUUUCUUGUUGCUCUAAUCCUUAAAGCCAGGACUAAGCGUAGUACUGUGAGCAUAUUUGGAGUAACAACCGGAAACAAUAGCUUCAUAACAAUAUUUCUCAUGUUCCAGAAUGGAAUUUCAUUGUAUUUUUUUCAAACUUAGUUUAUGUUGUUGUAAGGAUUAGUGAUUAUCUGAUCAGAUUGGGUCUUUUAGUUGAUUUACAAUGGUAUAUGAAGGUGCAGAAAUCUACU